This 1245-nucleotide ribosomal RNA is filed under the name Brachyrhynchus hsiaoi. Its description in RNAcentral is "16S ribosomal RNA". The stretch from base 520 to 1245 matches the Rfam family "Archaeal large subunit ribosomal RNA", at positions 1423 to 2811 of the family's 2987-position model. Lineage: Eukaryota; Metazoa; Arthropoda; Insecta; Hemiptera; Aradidae. The record is from RNAcentral.
UUUAUAGAAUAUUUUUAUAUAAAUUUUAAUUUAUUUGUCAUUAAUUGAAUUAUCAUUGUUUUUAGUAUCUUAUAGAACUAAUUUUUAUUAUUAUAGUUAAUUGAACCGUAGGGGCAUAAUGUUUUUAUAGUAGAAGUAGAUUUAUCUCUUACCUUUUGCAUCAGGGUUUAUUAAAUUUUUCUUAUUUAUAAUAAGUAUCCCGAAAUUAAGUGAGAUAGACAAUUGUGUAAUUUUAUGUGAUAAAAUGAUUAAUAACAAUUGUUUAGUGGUGAUAUGCUAUUCAACCUUAAUAUAUCUGGUUCUCUUAGAUAUGUAUUUAAUACAGGAUUAUGAAAUUAAUAAAUUAAUUUUAUUUAUGAUAAUCUUAGUUUGCCGGGGAUUAGCUCGGUAAAUUUUAUAUAAUAAUUAUUUAUUUUAGACUAAGUAGGCUUAGAAAUUGCCAUUUAAUUUGUUAUAAUUAUUUCUAUUUUUUGUUUUAUUUUGAUUUAUUUAUAUUUUUAUAGGGGUAAUUUUUUUAAUACGUUAUUACUUGUAAUUAUGAUAAAAUUAGUAGUUUUGAUAGUUAAUUUAUAGGAACUCGGCAAAUAUAAAUCCCGCCUGUUUAACAAAAACAUGGUCUGUAGUGUAUUUAUUUCAGAUCUGACCUGCCCAAUGAUUAUAUAUUAAAUGGCCGCAGUAUAUUGACUGUGCAAAGGUAGCAUAAUAAUUUGUCUUUUAAUUGAAGGCUUGUAUGAAUGGUUGGACGAGGUUUUAUCUUUCUUUAAAUUAGUAUGAUAAAUUUAACUUCUGAUUUAAAAGGAUCAGAUUUACUUGAUGGACGAGAAGACCCUAUAGAAUUUUAUAUUAAAAUUAUAAUUAUAAUUAUUUUUUUUAAUAUUUAUUUAUUUUAAUAUUAUGCUGGGGUGGCAUGGUAAUAUUAAUAACUUACUUUUACUUUAUUUCAUUAAUUUAUGUAUAAUUGAUCCUAUAUUAUGGAUUAUAAGAUCAAAUUACCUUAGGGAUAACAGCGUAAUUCCUUUGGAGAGUUCAUAUCGAUGAAGGAGAUUGCGACCUCGAUGUUGGAUUAAAGUUAGUGUUUGGUGUAGAAGCUAAAUAACUUGGUCUGUUCGACCAUUGAAUCUUUACAUGAUCUGAGUUCAGACCGGCGUGAGCCAGGUUGGUUUCUAUCCUCAAUUAUAUACUUUACUUUAGUACGAAAGGACCAAGUAAUGGGAAUAGUUCUUAUAUUUAAGUGAAUAUCAUUAA